Talpa occidentalis (Iberian mole) is the source of this 673-nucleotide long non-coding RNA. RefSeq lists it as uncharacterized. NCBI's taxonomy places the organism in Eukaryota, Metazoa, Chordata, Mammalia, Eulipotyphla, Talpidae. The record is from RefSeq and is a predicted model, not a curated record. The transcript has 5 exons.
CUUCCAAGCUGGUCGUCACUUUCUCUUUUUGUUGUAAAAGCAAAAGUCUUCUUCAGCAGGUACUAAUGUCGAUCUUCCAUGAAAGUGAAGAGACAUAAAACAAACUUUGGAAAAUCAGAGGAUUCCUGUAUAACAAGCUUCUUGUUAGUGACAACUACUUCUGGAAACCCAAGAAAGAGAAAAUACUGAAAAGGAAAAGAGUUGGUGUCCUUAUUAAUAAAACACUCAAGAAGAAAUCAGGUACAAAAUCUCCCAUCCAGCCAUGAUGGAAUUCACCUGCUGUUGUAGCCAUGUCUGAGUCAACAUUCACUGCAGCCACCAGAUGCAGGGGCCCAAGUCAGAAGGAGUAAGAACUCUGUCACCAUGUUGCAGAUGAGGAAGCCAGUAUACAAGGAAGUAAAGGAAGCUUCCAACAUUUCCAGAGUCAGAGGUGCAGUCCCCUUAGAAUUUCCUUCCCCAAUGCACCCGUGCACCAUCACCACUGAACAAAAUUUCUAAGAAAUCGGCCGGUUCUUCCCAGACAGAGAAACAGUACCGUGAAGUGGACGAUGAGCAUCAGUCGCUUUCUUUACCCGUGACUUGGCUGUGGAGAGAGCAACACCAAUAUUUUCUAGUAUCGUCUUCUUGACCGAUUGCUCUCACUAGCGAUCCCAUUAAAUGGUGGAAUAAACGU